CAGCACCUCAAGUGGUCAGGAUGAUUAUUGGGCCUAAAGCAUCCGUAGCCGGCUCUGUAAGUUUUCGGUUAAAUCUGUAUGCUCAACAUACAGGCUGCCGGGAAUACUGCAGAGCUAGGGAGUGGGAGAGGUAGACGGUACUCGGUAGGAAGGGGUAAAAUCCUUUGAUCUAUUGAUGACCACCCGUGGCGAAGGCGGUCUACCAGAACACGUCCGACGGUGAGGGAUGAAAGCUGGGGGAGCAAACCGGAUUAGAUACCCGAGUAGUCC
RNAcentral lists this ribosomal RNA (270 nucleotides) under uncultured archaeon. Its description in RNAcentral is "partial 16S ribosomal RNA". It matches the Rfam family "Archaeal small subunit ribosomal RNA", at positions 477 to 747 of the family's 1478-position model. The record is from RNAcentral.